This 256-nucleotide ribosomal RNA is filed under the name uncultured prokaryote. Its description in RNAcentral is "partial 16S ribosomal RNA". It matches the Rfam family "Bacterial small subunit ribosomal RNA", at positions 522 to 777 of the family's 1533-position model. The record is from RNAcentral.
AAUACGGGGGGAGCAAGCGUUGUUCGGAUUUACUGGGCGUAAAGGGCGCGUAGGCGGCGCAACAAGUCACUUGUGAAAUCUCCUGGCUCAACUAGGAGCGGCCAAGUGAUACUGUCGUGCUAGAGUGCGGAAGGGGCUACUGGAAUUCUCGGUGUAGCGGUGAAAUGCGUAGAUAUCGAGAGGAACACCUGCGGCGAAGGCGGGUUGCUGGGCUGACACUGACGCUGAGGCGCGAAAGCUAGGGGAGCGAACGGGA